GCCAGACUCCUACGGGAGGCAGCAGUGGGGAAUAUUGCACAAUGGGGGAAACCCUGAUGCAGCGACGCCGCGUGAGUGAAGAAGUAUUUCGGUAUGUAAAGCUCUAUCAGCAGGGAAGAAAAUGACGGUACCUGACUAAGAAGCCCCGGCUAACUACGUGCCAGCAGCCGCGGUAAUACGUAGGGGGCAAGCGUUAUCCGGAUUUACUGGGGGUAAAGGGAGCGUAGACGGUGAUGCAAGUCAGAAGUGAAAGCCCGGGGCUCAACUCCGGGACUGCUUUUGAAACUGUGUGACUGGAGUGCAGGAGAGGUAAGCGGAAUUCCUGGUGUAGCGGUGAAAUGCGUAGAUAUCAGGAGGAACACCAGUGGCGAAGGCGGCUUACUGGACUGUAACUGACGUUGAGGCUCGAAAGCGUGGGGAGCAAACAGGAUUAGAUACCCGAGUAUU
This 447-nucleotide ribosomal RNA is filed under the name uncultured bacterium. RNAcentral describes it as "bacterial SSU rRNA". It matches the Rfam family "Bacterial small subunit ribosomal RNA", at positions 330 to 794 of the family's 1533-position model. The record is from RNAcentral.